GACGAACGCUGGCGGCGUGCUUAACACAUGCAAGUCGAACGGAAAGGCCCCUUUGGGGGUCCUCGAGUGGCGAACGGGUGAGUAACACGUGAGUAACCUGCCCUUGACUUCGGGAUAACUUCAGGAAACUGGGGCUAAUACUGGAUAGGAAUCCUUGCUGCAUGGUGGGGGUUGGAAAGCUUCGGCGGUUUUGGAUGGACUCGCGGCUUAUCAGCUUGUUGGUGGGGUAGUGGCUUACCAAGGCUUUGACGGGUAGCCGGCCUGAGAGGGCGACCGGCCACAGUGGGACUGAGAUACGGCCCAGACUCCUACGGGAGGCAGCAGGGGGGAAUAUUGCACAAGGGGCGGAAGCCUGAUGCAGCAACGCCGCGUGCGGGAGGACGGCCUUCGGGUUGUAAACCGCUUUCAGCAGGGGCGAAGCUUGUGGUGACGGUACCUGCAGAAGAAGCACCGGCUAACUACGUG
This 465-nucleotide ribosomal RNA is filed under the name uncultured bacterium. RNAcentral's name for it is "partial 16S ribosomal RNA". It matches the Rfam family "Bacterial small subunit ribosomal RNA", at positions 28 to 507 of the family's 1533-position model. The record is from RNAcentral.